RNAcentral lists this long non-coding RNA (699 nucleotides) under Marmota monax (woodchuck). The record is from RNAcentral. Lineage: Eukaryota; Metazoa; Chordata; Mammalia; Rodentia; Sciuridae.
GACGUAGUUGUCUUCUACUAUUUUCUCUCAAAAUGAUCCCAAAGAAAAGAUGGAAGUUAAAUGGAAAUACAUGUUUGAUGUCUGAAGCUGUACAGAUCUACUUCAGAUCUGGUUUGGCCAUAGAAUGUGUGACCUUGGGCAAGAAAGGUGACUUUUAUAAGUUAGGUUUCUCCAUCUACAAACUAAUGAGAAUGAUAGUAGCUGUGUAUCAGUUCACUUUGCAUUGCUAUAACAGAACACUAUAGGUACUUUAUAAGGGGUAAAAUUUAUUUCUCACAGUUCAAUAGGUAGGAAGUCCAAGAUCAAGGUGCAAGCAGGUUUGUGUCUGGAGAACAAAGAGAACCCACUUCCACAGGCCCUUUUAUAACAAUAUUGAUCCAUUUGUGAUCCUCCCAUUAGACCCUUCCUUUCCAAAGCUGUUGCACUGGGCAUUAAGCUUCAAACACAUGAAAUUGGAGGGAAUCAAAAGAUUCAAACUAUAGUAACCUGCUUCACAGGAUUAUUGAAAAGCAUGAAAUGAGCUAGAACAUGUAAUAUCCGUAGCCCAAUGCUUGGUGAUAAUUCAUGUUAAAUGUUCAUCAAUAUUUAUUAAUGAGAUGUUUAUUAAUAUCAUUUCAAUUUCACUACAAAGAAAAAGGCUUUAUUUGUGUGAUUGGAGUAGGGGUGUUGUGAGAAUACUCACGAAAAUAAGGACUUUAG